This is a long non-coding RNA of Cyprinus carpio (common carp), 369 nucleotides long. RefSeq lists it as uncharacterized. Lineage: Eukaryota; Metazoa; Chordata; Actinopteri; Cypriniformes; Cyprinidae. The transcript is spliced from 3 exons. The record is from RefSeq and is a predicted model, not a curated record.
AUGAAACUUGCUACAGUACUGCAGGACAAACACUGUAAACUCAACACACUGAUUAUGAAUAACAACAAUAUCACAGAAGAAGAUUGUCGUUUAUUGACUGAAGCUUUAAAUUCAAACCCUUCAAAUCUGAUAGAACUGAAUCUGAGUGGAACUAAACUCAGAAACUCAGGAAUGAAGAUCUUCUCAACUCUGUUUAAGAAUGAACAGUGUAGACUGAAAAACGCUGAAGUUUAAUUGCAUCAGUAUUACAGAAGAAGGUUGUGCCGCUCUGGCGUUAGCAUUUAAUUCAAACACUUCAAACCUGAUAGAGCUGGAACUGAGUGGAAAUAAACUCGGAAACUCUGGAGUGACUCAAAUCUCCACUCUACU